AGCGGCCUAGCCCAACAGGCAGAGGCACCGGCAUCAAGCCCCGGACAGUGUGGGUUCGACCCCCACGGCCGCUA
Molecule: transfer RNA, 74 nt
Filed under: Kocuria sp.
Lineage: Bacteria; Bacillati; Actinomycetota; Actinomycetes; Micrococcales; Micrococcaceae
Description: tRNA-Leu
Rfam family: tRNA
About the family: Transfer RNA (tRNA) molecules are approximately 80 nucleotides in length. Their secondary structure includes four short double-helical elements and three loops (D, anti-codon, and T loops).
Source: RNAcentral